Phodopus roborovskii (desert hamster) is the source of this 1425-nucleotide long non-coding RNA. RefSeq lists it as uncharacterized. The transcript has 2 exons. The record is from RefSeq and is a predicted model, not a curated record. Lineage: Eukaryota; Metazoa; Chordata; Mammalia; Rodentia; Cricetidae.
ACUUUCUGCCCUUUUUUGCGCUGUUUUCUCUUUUUCCCUUCAUAGCUGUGUGUCUUUGCUAUUUGCAUUACUCCAUUGCUUUGUGCUUGUUUGUGUUACUUUCUCUUCUACUUCCCCCUUUUUACUCACUCUGAGCAUUUUAGUGUCUUUAAAAGUCUGUGUCUCCCUCUCUUACUCUAAUCUUCUCUUGGCUAUGCUAUUUCUUUGUGUGUGUGCCUAUGUGCGUGUGCCUAUGUGCGUGCGUGCGUGCGUGCUUGUGUGUGAUCCCCUUCCCAAUAGGCACAGAAUCUCACCAGUGGAGCUGUUCCUCAUGGCAGACUGACAGCACUUCGGUCAGGAUUGAAGCAGAACUGAAAUAAACACAUGAAAAGGCCCAAAGUGGAAGACAGAUGUUUUGUGACUUGCGACUUAAGGACCAAGGAACACAGAAGGCCUAUCUGAGCUGGCUGGAUGGACAGAGAAUGCUGACAACCCAUAGGAGAGAGGCUGCUUUUCUACAGGAUGGACCCAUAUGAAGUCUAAGAACUGAGACCUGCGUCAUAAGACACAAAACCCAAGCUAAGUCCAAGCUCAAGACCUAAGGACUCAAGCCUAUAUGGAUAGAGACAAAGGCUAGAAAUUGGAGGCCUACGGCCUAAAACUCUGGAGGGAUAGAAUCCCCAAACCAGGGGAAAUCUGAAGAUGAGAUCCCCCUAACUUUCAUACUGUUAAACCCUCUUCUCUUGGACAUUCUCAGCGUUCCCUUUUAUUUCUUAGAUUUCCAUUUAAGCCAGAUUUGCUUGAGGUGUACAUUUCAAUGUUGUCAUUUACUAUAAAGGGACAAGCUUUUAGAAUGAUAGUAUUGUACAGGCGUCAAUCUAUAGUCUGUUUUAAACUUGAUUUAUCCAUUUGUUAAUUUUUUUAAUGUUUUCAAACUUCCAUUUCUCUUCACAUCUGCUCCAUGUGAGAGAGAGAACAAAAUCCAGCCAGUAGUUUCUAGUUUGACUUUCGGUAUUCCCCUAGAAGCAAGCAUCCAUACAGAUGCUGUACUUCUUCUGUCCUCCCUAACUCAGAAGCCCUAAUAUGAGGAAGGAAAGCAUCAGACUGUUAGAGGAGAACAGGACCAGGCUAUCUAGAUAAAUAUGAAGACCUGCUUCAGACCAAUGAGAAGAAUUAGACAAGCAAUACGCAAGUGUGCAGACUUUCUGAGAAGGAUCAGCCAGCAUCACCUUCCUUCUUUGGGCUUAGGUCAGCACGUUUCUGCCAUCAACAUGACUACCGAUUAAGCAAAAACAAGGAGCAUCUUAAUUAUCAUCUGCUUUGGUUGCAUAAACGAACUUGUAAAUAAAUCUAUUGAUGUUAAAGACAAUAUCGUCAUCUUCCCAACCAACUAUAAAAGAGUUCUUAUACCAAAAGGCAUGGAAGAUACUUGGACUUGUGAGCUGA